UACGAAGGGAGCGAGCGUUGUCCGGAAUUACUGGGCGUAAAGAGCAUGUAGGCGGCUUUAUUAGUUGGGUGUGAAAUCCCGGGGCUCAACCCCGGAACUGCAUUCAAUACUGUAAAGCUAGAGACCGAGAGAGGAAAGUGGAAUUACGAGUGUAGAGGUGAAAUUCGUAGAUAUUCGUAGGAACACCAGAGGCGAAGGCGACUUUCUGGCUCGGUACUGACGCUCAGAUGCGAAAGCGUGGGGAGCAAAC
This 250-nucleotide ribosomal RNA is filed under the name uncultured bacterium. Its description in RNAcentral is "partial 16S ribosomal RNA". It matches the Rfam family "Bacterial small subunit ribosomal RNA", at positions 524 to 773 of the family's 1533-position model. The record is from RNAcentral.